GACGAACGCUGGCGGCGUGCUUAACACAUGCAAGUCGAACGAAGUGGCGAACGGGUGAGUAACGCGUAAUCAACCUGCCCUUCAGAGGGGGACAACAGUUGGAAACGACUGCUAAUACCGCAUACUGAAGGAGGGGAUUGCGUCUGAUUAGCUCGGUGGAGGGGUAACGGCCUACCAAGGCGGUGAUCAGUAGCCGGUCUGAAGGGAUGGACGGCCACAUUGGGACUGAGACAAGGGCCCGAACCCUAAGGGAGGGAGCAGUGGGGAAUCUUCCGGAAUGGACGAAAGUCUGACGGAGCAACGGCGCGUGAGUGAUGACGGCCUUCGGGUUGUAAAGCUCUGUUAAUCGGGACGCGGUACCGGAAUAGAAAGCCACGGCUAACUACGUGCCAGCAGCCGCGGUAAUAC
This 408-nucleotide ribosomal RNA is filed under the name uncultured bacterium. RNAcentral's name for it is "partial 16S ribosomal RNA". It matches the Rfam family "Bacterial small subunit ribosomal RNA", at positions 28 to 526 of the family's 1533-position model. The record is from RNAcentral.